GACGAACGCUGGCGGCGUGCUUAACACAUGCAAGUCGAACGGAAAGGCCCUGCUUUUGUGGGGGGCUCGAGUGGCGAACGGGUGAGUAACACGUGAGUAACCUGCCCUUGACUUUGGGAUAACUUCAGGAAACUGGGGCUAAUACCGGAGAGGAGCUCCUGCUACAGGGUGGGGGUUGGAAAGUUUCGGCGGGUGGGGAUGGACUCGCGGCUUAUCAGCUUGUUGGUGGGGUAGUGGCUUACCAAGGCAUUGACGGGUAGCCGGCCUGAGAGGGUGACCGGCGACAUUGGGACUGAGAUACGGCCCAGACUCGUACGGUAGGCAGCAGUGGGGAAUCUUACACAAUGAGUGGAAGCGUGAUGCAGCAACGCCGCGGGCGGGAUGACGGCCCGGGGGUUGCAAACCGCUUUCGCCUGUGACGAAGCGUGAGUGACGGUAAUGGGUAAAGAAGCACCGGCUAACUACGUG
RNAcentral lists this ribosomal RNA (468 nucleotides) under uncultured bacterium. RNAcentral's name for it is "partial 16S ribosomal RNA". It matches the Rfam family "Bacterial small subunit ribosomal RNA", at positions 28 to 507 of the family's 1533-position model. The record is from RNAcentral.